Non-coding RNA from Cinara cedri, 854 nucleotides. Lineage: Eukaryota; Metazoa; Arthropoda; Insecta; Hemiptera; Aphididae. The record is from the annotation of a GenBank genome assembly.
ACAGUCUGUACGUAUAAUAAUACAUUCAUGGGCAAAAUCUUGGGGGGUAUAAAGGGUGUAUUUGCAUCCCUUUAAUUUGUGUGGGGGUGCAAUACUAUCAUUUUGAACCCCAUUAAUCGAAAAUAACCCUGAUUUGUUAAGCAAAACAGCAAAACCACGUCGGGUAGAAUUCUAUUUCGUGUGCAGUUUGUUAAUAUAAUGCGACCGGUUAGGGUUUCCGAAAACGUUUUUUAUCGCUUUUCGUUCAAGUGAUAUUCACCGCUUAUAAAUGGGAAUUGUGAUACCACAAAAUAGAUUAAUGAUGAUACUACGUGAAUACGUGUUCGCGAAAAUUGUUGCUGUGCUAUGAUAGCAAGAGCUAUUUGACAUUUUUAAGCGCUUUUUAUGGAUUUUAAAUGCAUAUAAAUCCGUUACCUAAUGAUCAUAUAUGGUCUUGGUGAACCGUUUUACUUACGAGCGUUUAUUUUAAUAUUUAUUAUUAAAUACACAUCUUCUGGAUUUUUUUUUUUUGAUUCUUUAGUUACUUUAUUACUUCGGGUCGUAAAUGCCAGUUUUGCACCCCCUGAAUUUCAGCGAAAUUACGCUUAUGAAUACAUUGACGAUACGUAUAAUUAAUAUAAAUAGGUAUUGCUGUCGCAUGUACAUAUUAUAAUUAUGCACUUGUAAACACGAUAAUUCGGUACUUAUCAUUUUUUUAUGAAUAAAAUAAAUACAAAAUUCGAAUACCUACAAUACCUAUGCUGUUCGAGUAAUCGCUAUUCAAUGAAAUAAAAUACAAUAUUAUAACACAUACCCGACGAUAGUUCGAAAACAGAAUGCGACGACAGGACUGCGGUGCGCAAUCAAUAACCGAA